GACGAGGGAUCCUAGCGUUGCUCGGAAUCAUUGGGCGUAAAGCGGGUGUAGGUGGCUUUAUAAGUCAGGUGUGAAAGCCCAGGGCUCAACCCUGGAAGUGCAUUUGAUACUGUAAAGCUUGAGUGUGGGAGAGGUUACUGGAAUACCUGGUGUAGUGGUGAAAUACGUAGAUAUCAGGUGGAACACCGGAGGCGAAGGCGGGUAACUGGCCCAACACUGACACUCAGACCCGAAAGCGUGGGGAUCAAACAGG
This 253-nucleotide ribosomal RNA is filed under the name uncultured bacterium. Its description in RNAcentral is "partial 16S ribosomal RNA". It matches the Rfam family "Bacterial small subunit ribosomal RNA", at positions 524 to 776 of the family's 1533-position model. The record is from RNAcentral.